RNAcentral lists this transfer RNA (76 nucleotides) under bacterium. RNAcentral describes it as "tRNA-Gly". It matches the Rfam family "tRNA". Rfam says of the family: Transfer RNA (tRNA) molecules are approximately 80 nucleotides in length. The record is from RNAcentral. RNAcentral also lists the same sequence under 1 other name.
GCGAGCGUAGCUCAGUUGGUAGAGCACCACGUUGCCAACGUGGAUGUCGCCGGUUCGAACCCGGUCGCUCGCUCCA